GGAAAUCUUCUUUUUGCAUAGUGCCAAAGUUGGGAGUUGGGGGUGAAGUAAACAAGGGCUAGGUUGGGAUGUGUAUAUAUAUACUCCCUACAUUUAAAAUUGUAGGUCUUUUUCAUUUUUCUAGAUCUAUAGAUAUAAUUAUGCAUCUAGACAUACACUACGUCUAGUGCAUAGGAAAAACUAUGCACAUAAAAAAGUCAACACAUUAGCCAUGUUGGAACCAUAUGUCUUUAUUUUAUCUAAGCAAACUAUUUGAUGAAAUCACGAAAAAACUAUAGAAAAAUGUUUUAAAAUAUAAGGAAAACCUAAAUGACUCAAAAUAAUUUCUUAUUUGAUACCGAACGAUAACUCAAUCUCUUCAUUGGCCCUGGAAAAAAAAUUCUCCCUAA
RNAcentral lists this long non-coding RNA (389 nucleotides) under Setaria viridis. RNAcentral's name for it is "long non-coding RNA (SVIR_LNC010311)". The record is from RNAcentral. Lineage: Eukaryota; Viridiplantae; Streptophyta; Magnoliopsida; Poales; Poaceae.